CCCUUAGAUGUUCUGGGCCGCACGCGCGCUACACUGACGAAUGCAACGAGCUUAUAACCUUGGCCGAAAGGUCUGGGUAAUCUCCAAAUUUCGUCGUGAUGGGGAUAGAUUAUUGCAAUUAUUAAUCUUCAACGAGGAAUGCCUAGUAAGCGCAAGUCAUCAGCUUGCGUUGAUUACGUCCCUGCCCUUUGUACACACCGCCCGUCGCUCCUACCGAUUGAAUGGUCCGGUGAAGCGUUCGGACCGUGGCCUUUGGACGGUUCGCCGUCUGUUGGCUGCGGGAAGUUCGUUAAACCUUAUCAUUUAGAGGAAGGAGAAGUCGUAANA
RNAcentral lists this ribosomal RNA (327 nucleotides) under uncultured eukaryote. RNAcentral's name for it is "partial 18S ribosomal RNA". It matches the Rfam family "Eukaryotic small subunit ribosomal RNA", at positions 1470 to 1796 of the family's 1831-position model. The record is from RNAcentral.